AGGAAAGGGAGGGAUUCGACCC
This 22-nucleotide transfer RNA is filed under the name Elaphoglossum huacsaro. RNAcentral describes it as "partial tRNA-Ser". The record is from RNAcentral. Lineage: Eukaryota; Viridiplantae; Streptophyta; Polypodiopsida; Polypodiales; Dryopteridaceae.